GGUGUGGGGGGAAACGCUGUUGUAAACAUCCAUCUCAUCUGGUCCGCGAACGCUAUCGCAGCCUUCUGGCAGCGUGAGGAGACCGACAGCGGCCGGGAGCCGCCCGGGAGGGCUCUGAGGGACCCGGGAGGGCUGUGCGGGGCCGGCAGGGCUCUGAGACACCCGGUGGGGCUGUGAGGCAACCAGGAGGGCUCCGGGGCACUCGAAUCUUCUUGUCUGAAAAGAGUUCCUGGACUUCCUACAAAAUUGUUAUGCACCUUCACUCCAGAGGUUCAGCUCAUUAUUCUUGUUAAGAGAAGCAAAGGAUCUACAACAGAAGAAAAGCCUGCUGACAUCAAAUCUUCAUCGUUUUUUCCAGGAUUCACACCACAUAGAGGCUUUCUCCCUAUACAUACCUUGUGCUAACUCACUACAUGGAAGACCAGUGGCUUUUAAACCCUCCCAGGAAGGCAGACUCUGCCUCAGCACUGGGCUGAAGAGGAAAGGAGGAUGCUGGAGUUGGCCACUUCUCAGUCGUGAGGAGAAGAGACUGGGCUCAUGGGCAAGGCUGGGCUCAGUUCUGGGGGGAAUCUUUAUAUGAAGGAAGGAGGAAACACUGUUCAUAUAAUAUGAACUGUGGGAUGAGUUUAGAUUUAUUGUUCAUAAAUAUGGUUAUGACCAGUGGCACUUCAACCUAUUUACAUGCUUUUUUUUUUAAAUUAUUUUUCAGUACUUGCAUGUAACUUGUAACUGCAUAUAUUCUCUAUUUAGCAAUGAGA
Long non-coding RNA from Pipra filicauda (Wire-tailed manakin), 758 nucleotides. RefSeq lists it as uncharacterized. NCBI's taxonomy places the organism in Eukaryota, Metazoa, Chordata, Aves, Passeriformes, Pipridae. The record is from RefSeq and is a predicted model, not a curated record. The transcript is spliced from 3 exons.